This 393-nucleotide ribosomal RNA is filed under the name Vagococcus fluvialis. RNAcentral's name for it is "bacterial SSU rRNA". It matches the Rfam family "Bacterial small subunit ribosomal RNA", at positions 341 to 726 of the family's 1533-position model. Lineage: Bacteria; Bacillati; Bacillota; Bacilli; Lactobacillales; Enterococcaceae. The record is from RNAcentral.
ACGGGAGGCAGCAGUAGGGAAUCUUCGGCAAUGGACGAAAGUCUGACCGAGCAACGCCGCGUGAGUGAAGAAGGUUUUCGGAUCGUAAAACUCUGUUGUUAGAGAAGAACAAGUGGGAGAGUAACUGUUCCCACCUUGACGGUAUCUAACCAGAAAGCCACGGCUAACUACGUGCCAGCAGCCGCGGUAAUACGUAGGUGGCAAGCGUUGUCCGGAUUUAUUGGGCGUAAAGCGAGCGCAGGCGGUUUCUUAAGUCUGAUGUGAAAGCCCUCGGCUCAACCGAGGAAGGUCAUUGGAAACUGGGGAACUUGAAUGCAGAAGAGGAGAGUGGAAUUCCAUGUGUAGCGGUGAAAUGCGUAGAUAUAUGGAGGAACACCAGUGGCGAAGGCGACU